UAUUAUAGAAUUUUCAUGACUGAUUUGACUAGUGAGUCCCACUAACAUACGGUCAUUUGCGUAAGCAGAGCAUUCACUUAGGAACACACCCUGAAAUCGCAAUUACAUAUCACCGUAUAGCAGCUCCUUUUCCUAUUAUGACUUAGAAAGAAAACACGUUAUCUUUCUUCUGUAUCCGACUGCCGUGCAACAUUGAGAGCCACCUCAUAACUUUCCCUCGAGUGAUUCUUUCCCUUUGUUAAUUGUUUGGCUUCCAUGUUAAUGUCGUUUAAUAUUCCAGCCAAGAUGAGAGAUGUGGUCACACAUGUUGCUCUUGAACAAAGAAGAUCAGCAGAAAAUCUUCCAUGACUUUUUAAGUCUAUUACUGAAGAAGUUAAUCAAGAUUAACCAUUGUUCAUUACUCAUUAAUCAUUGUCAUACUUAUAAGCAUUAAUCACAGAAAAAUGGAGAUUACUAAGUAGAAGUGACUGGCAAUAAAUAAGAUUAGAUUUUUUGCAAAGUUAUUCAGUUAUUUUCAUAAUUAAAGUUAUUGGAACAGGUUAGGAUGUACAAGAAUUCUGUAAAAAAUGGAGAACAUUCUUUGCUUCAAUAACUACUUUGCAUUAUUCCAAAUGAUGCUGCUGUAGACAAGUAGCUGAAUAAACCGUAUGGAUUUGGUUGAGUUUUCAGCAUUUAACAUUUAUUAUCAGGGAAAGCACACCAAAUUUCAAUAGCUAGUUUAUUUUCAAUUACCUACUCAGAUUUAUUGCACAAACAUACACAAAUAAUCCAUAAGACCAUAAGACAUGGGAGCAGAAAUGAGGUUAUUCAGCCCAUCGAAUCUGCUCUGCUACUCAACCGUGGCCAAUAGGCUUUUCACCCCAUUUUCCCACUUUCUCCCCAUAACCUUUGAUCCCCUUGGUAAUCAAGAACUUACCUAUCUUAUCUAUCGAACAAAUAAGGGCAUAUGAAGGUAUAUAUGUUAUAUGUUAGUAGUGUAGGAGAUUUGCAUACCCUCAUGGGGGAAUGGUUUCUUAUAGAAUACACACUUUCCCACAUAUAGCAAUCCUUGAACAUAAAUGCAGUGAAGGUAUAUUUAGGAUGAAGAGUGCUCAAUGGCAGGUCCAGGAUGUCCUGUGGUCUGCAAUAUUUCUUGAGACUUGUGAGAAUGGGAUAAUACAUUUCAAUAGAUUAUAAUACUGUCAAGUCCAUGGCAUAGUCGAGAGUGUGUUGCUGGAAAAGAACAAGACGUCAGGCAGCAUCUGUGGAGCAGAAGAGGCUUGUGGA
Long non-coding RNA from Chiloscyllium plagiosum (whitespotted bambooshark), 1266 nucleotides. RefSeq lists it as uncharacterized. The record is from RefSeq and is a predicted model, not a curated record. NCBI's taxonomy places the organism in Eukaryota, Metazoa, Chordata, Chondrichthyes, Orectolobiformes, Hemiscylliidae.